AGUAAUGUCUGGGAAACUGCCUGAUGGAGGGGGAUAACUACUGGAAACGGUAGCUAAUACCGCAUAACAUCGCAAGACCAAAGAGGGGGACCUUCGGGCCUCUUGCCAUCGGAUGUGCCCAGAUGGGAUUAGCUAGUAGGUGGGGUAAUGGCUCACCUAGGCGACGAUCCCUAGCUGGUCUGAGAGGAUGACCAGCCACACUGGAACUGAGACACGGUCCAG
RNAcentral lists this ribosomal RNA (222 nucleotides) under uncultured bacterium. RNAcentral's name for it is "partial 16S ribosomal RNA". It matches the Rfam family "Bacterial small subunit ribosomal RNA", at positions 109 to 334 of the family's 1533-position model. The record is from RNAcentral.